Molecule: ribosomal RNA, 293 nt
Filed under: uncultured bacterium
Lineage: Bacteria
Description: partial 16S ribosomal RNA
Rfam family: Archaeal small subunit ribosomal RNA
Source: RNAcentral
GUGCCAGCCGCCGCGGUAAUACCGGCAGCUCAAGUGAUGACCGAUCUUAUUGGGCCUAAAGCGUCCGUAGCUGGCUGCGCAAGUCCGUCGGGAAAUCCACUCGCCCAACGAGUGGGCGUCCGGUGGAAACUGCACGGCUUGGGACCGGAAGGCGCGACGGGUACGUCCAGGGUAGGAGUGAAAUCCCGUAAUCCUGGACGGACCGCCGAUGGCGAAAGCACGUCGCGAGAACGGAUCCGACAGUGAGGGACGAAAGCUAGGGUCUCGAACCGGAUUAGAUACCCUGGUAGUCC